GACGAACGCUGGCGGCGUGCUUAACACAUGCAAGUCGAACGGAAAGGCCCUGCUUUUGUGGGGUGCUCGAGUGGCGAACGGGUGAGUAACACGUGAGUAACCUGCCCUUGACUUUGGGAUAACUUCAGGAAACUGGGGCUAAUACCGGAUAGGAGCUCCUGCUGCAUGGUGGGGGUUGGAAAGUUUCGGCGGUUGGGGAUGGACUCGCGGCUUAUCAGCUUGUUGGUGGGGUAGUGGCUUACCAAGGCUUUGACGGGUAGCCGGCCUGAGAGGGUGACCGGCCACAUUGGGACUGAGAUACCGCCCAGACUCCUACGGGAGGCAGCAGUGGGGAAUAUUGCACAAUGGGCGGAAGCCUGAUGCAGCAACGCCGCGUGCGGGAUGACGGCCUUCGGGUUGUAAACCGCUUUCGCCUGUGACGAAGCGUGAGUGACGGUAAUGGGUAAAGAAGCACCGGCUAACUACGUGCCAGCAGCCGCGGUGAUACGUAGGGUGCGAGCGUUGUCCGGAUUUAUUGGGCGUAAAGGGCUCGUAGGUGGUUGAUCGCGUCGGAAGUGUAAUCUUGGGGCUUAACCCUGAGCGUGCUUUCGAUACGGGUUGACUUGAGGAAGGUAGGGGAGAAUGGAAUUCCUGGUGGAGCGGUGGAAUGCGCAGAUAUCAGGAGGAACACCAGUGGCGAAGGCGGUUCUCUGGGCCUUUCCUGACGCUGAGGAGCGAAAGCGUGGGGAGCGAACAGGCUUAGAUACCCUGGUAGUCCACGCUGUAAACGGUGGGUACUAGGUGUGGGGUCCAUUCCACGGGUUCCGUGCCGUAGCUAACGCUUUAAGUACCCCGCCUGGGGAGUACGGCCGCAAGGCUAAAACUCAAAGGAAUUGACGGGGCCCCGCACAAGCGGCGGAGCAUGCGGAUUAAUUCGAUGCAACGCGUAGAACCUUACCUGGGUUUGACAUGGAUCGGGAGUGCUCAGAGAUGGGUGUGCCUCUUUUGGGGUCGGUUCACAGGUGGUGCAUGGCUGUCGUCAGCUCGUGUCGUGAGAUGUUGGGUUAAGUCCCGCAACGAGCGCAACCCUUGUUCACUGUUGCCAGCACGUUAUGGUGGGGACUCAGUGGAGACCGCCGGGGUCAACUCGGAGGAAGGUGGGGAUGACGUCAAGUCAUCAUGCCCCUUAUGUCCAGGGCUUCACGCAUGCUACAAUGGCUGGUACAGAGAGUGGCGAGCCUGUGAGGGUGAGCGAAUCUCGGAAAGCCGGUCUCAGUUCGGAUUGGGGUCUGCAACUCGACCUCAUGAAGUCGGAGUCGCUAGUAAUCGCAGAUCAGCAACGCUGCGGUGAAUACGUUCCCGGGGCA
RNAcentral lists this ribosomal RNA (1346 nucleotides) under uncultured bacterium. RNAcentral's name for it is "partial 16S ribosomal RNA". It matches the Rfam family "Bacterial small subunit ribosomal RNA", at positions 28 to 1381 of the family's 1533-position model. The record is from RNAcentral.